AUUGAACGCUGGCGGCAGGCCUAACACAUGCAAGUCGAACGAGUCGCGGGCGUGUGAGCUAUGUCUGUGCAAGUGCCUGAUGGAGGAGGAUAACUACUGGAAACUGUAGCUAAUUACGUCUACCAUCGCAUGUGCCCAGAUGGCAUUGGCUUGUGGGUGGGGUAACGGCUGACCAAGGCGACGAUCCCUAGCUGGUCUGAGAGGAUGACCAGCCACACUGGAACUGAGACACGGUCCAGACUCCUACGGGAGGCAGCAGUGGGGAAUAUUGCACAAUGGGCGCAAGCCUGAUGCAGCCAUGCCGCGUGUAUGAAGAAGGCCUUCGGGUUGUAAAGUACUUUCAGCGGGGAGGCGUUACCCGCAGAAGAAGCACCGGCUAACUCCGUGCCAGCAGCCGCGGUAAUUC
Molecule: ribosomal RNA, 406 nt
Filed under: uncultured bacterium
Lineage: Bacteria
Description: partial 16S ribosomal RNA
Rfam family: Bacterial small subunit ribosomal RNA
Source: RNAcentral